Molecule: non-coding RNA, 3345 nt
Organism: Sesamum indicum (sesame)
Lineage: Eukaryota; Viridiplantae; Streptophyta; Magnoliopsida; Lamiales; Pedaliaceae
Source: RefSeq, a predicted model, not a curated record
GCACGUCAUCCUGAUUAUUGAGUUAUCGCACAUGUCACCUGUUGCUCAUUGGUGGUUUCUUCUUACACGCCAUCCAUAUUUGCUUAGUCAUCGAACACGUCAUUGCUGCGUGCUGAGUCGUUAACCUCGUCAGCGACACCGACGUCAUUAGAACCAUUCAUUUACUACGUGACAACUCCCUAUGAGUCACAGGGCACGUUGUUCCCUGAGUCAUCGCUUACAAUGGCUGCCGGAUGUAAACCGAAUCUUCCGAAAUAUUGGCUGAGUCAUUUUGAAGAAUCUCCGGCCAGAUUUCGUGAGUCACUAACCACGUCAAAGGCAUUUGAAGAGUCUCCGGCCACUUCAUUUAUACGCGGCAUCAGCCUCCUCACCUUCUUGGUCGUCGCAGUCUCCAAUUUUCAAAGACGACGGCUUUCGACGAUCUUGAGCUGUGAUUUGCCGAUAACGGCAGUGUCGUGUCGGCAGUCGAGGCCGAUCGCGUUGCUUGGAGAUGUUGUGGAAGAAGUCAAACCGUAGAAUGAUUUUCCCAUGACCUGCAUAGGAACAAAGUCCUUGUUCAUCUCAAAAAAAUUCAUACUAUUUUAAUAUUUAUAUAGGUAGCUACCUCACGAUAGUGAAACUUUGGAACUAAUCUUCAAAUGUCCUCAACUGUCUCUCCCAUCUCCGCAAAACCCGACUGCCCACCAGCAUCGCCGCCUCGGUCGCUGCCGCCUCAUCUAACCUGAUAUUGCUUCUUGGAAUGCUGCCAUUGCUGGUUGUGUAUCUCAUGAUUAUCAUGAUGUUGAAAAGCAAGAAAAGGAGCUGCUUCUUUCAUAUCACAGUGAAAAACUCGCAGUGGCUUUUGGACUGAUUGCUACUCCACCAGGAGCUCCUAUUAGGGUGAAAAAGAACCUUCAUAUUUGUUUGGAUUGCCAUUCAGCAUUCAAGUACAUUUGCAAGAUCUAAUCAAGAGAUAUCAACAGAUUCGACCACUUUAGAGAUGGAUCUUGCUCUUGUGGGGAUUAUUGGUAACAUUAUUUGAGCCUGAUACAUUCUUAUGUUGCUAAAGAAGCAAGCCACUCAGAAUGUAAGUGCUAAAGGCCUGUGUGAUAGAAUUUUCUUGGAUAAUGUGGUAGUGUGCUAAAGGCCUGUGUGACAAAAUUUUCUCUAUUUCUUUUUCUUCUAUUUGUGUUCAGUGCAACAGGCGUCCUUGUGAAAAUUCUAACAGACAAGAAACGCCUUUUAAAGAAAAGAAAGGGCAACCGACUCUCUCAUGUGGGUGAUAGUGAGCUUUCUCCAAAAGCUUAGGGGUUGUGGUACCAUUUUUUUGUUUUGUUUUGGUUAAAAAGGUUUUGAUGUCUAUUAAUGUUUUCAGUGUGGGGUAAAAUGCAAUUAGCCCCUGCUAAUUAGAGAGUUCUUGUAAUUUCUAUAAUGUAGAAAGUGACGGAGCUGCAAAGGCUAUAUUUUUAUAACUAAUUAUGAAUAAUAUAUUAUUUCCUUAUGAACCAGGCAAAAAGUUGAGCUACCAAUAAAACUGUAAGGUGACAGUUUCUGCAUGUUACUAUUUUCCGUAUCACUAUUAAGUUUAAUCUACUGGUAUAGAAGCUUAGGAGAAUUAUCACUCAUUUCCAUAACAAUCUUGCUGCUUGCUCAAUUAUUUGUGUGGUGCAUUAACAUAUUUCUGUGUGUUGCUAUAGGAAUGUUUUGGUCCUCUACUGUUGAGCUAUACAAUUUUGGUAAAAAACUAGAAAUUGUUGUUAGUUCACUUGCUAAAAGUGGGUUAAAUGCUAGUUAUGCGAUCAAAUCAAUGCUGGAUCUGAUUCUCAGAUAACUCAGUUAUGGCUUAUGAGUACAAUGUACAAACUUUUAGAUAUAAGGAAUGUGACUUUGCUAGAUUAUUAGUGUUAAAGGUCCUUGAGACUUGACAUCACCGUCAACUUCCUCUGGCUUAUCGUUGGCGCUCUUAUUUAGGUUCCAAACUCAACAAUGGCAACUAAACAUGAGGGUUAUGCUCGUUGCAGUGACUUUUGGUUUGUCAAAAGAACAUCCUCGCAUUAUUUGACAUUGAUUGGGGGCCUCACACUUCAAGCUACCACUUAAAUGAUGAACUAUUCUUCCUUACAUUUUUGCUUCACUUCUCAACCAUUUAGUUCGGAUGAUAACCUUUCAAUCCCUUAGACGACAAACAAAGGGGAUAUGAUCCUUCUAGCCACGGUUAUCUGUGCAGAAGCUUUUGAGAUCCUCCUAAUUAAGUUGGUUGUAUCCUAUUAGACUGUGGCACUAGGGAUAUCCUUCUGCUUAAACUGUCAUCAAAGAGUAAUCACUUCUUCCCUCCUCCACCUGACGAGUGAAGUGAAAGUGAAAAUGACAAAAUGUGGUCCGUGCUGUUAUAUGUUUCCGUCCUCUCUUCCAGGUGCCUUCUUCAAGUGCUUGCCAAUGUCCUGUUUGUUCAAAAGGAAAAAUACUAGGGAAAAGAUUGAACUUGCUGAAAAAAUAUAUUAUGUUCCUUGGUUUGAAUUGCAAAUAAAUCCAAACCCAUCUUUCGUGAUAGAUAAAUGCUGAGAUUUCAGUUUGAGGAUUUCGCUAACCAUAAUGUGUUUGAGCUGCCGGCCAGAUAUGGCACUACCCAUUUGGUCUUUAACGAUGAUAUACAGGGGACAGCAUCUAUCGUGCUUGCUGGGCUUGUUGCAUCGCUUACGCUGCUUGGCGGUACCUUGGCUGACCACAGCUUCUUGUUCUUUGGUGCUGGAGAAUGGAAGCUUUGACUGGUCAAUUAAUAGACGAACUCUGUCAUAAGGGAAUGAUUUAUCCUCCUUUGUUCAAUACAAGAAAGAUCUCUGCUCAUAUUGCUGCAAAUGUAGCUGCUAAAGCAUAUGAACUCGGUCUGACAACACGGCUGCCUCAACCUGCUUACUUGGUUAAGUAUGCUGAAAGCUGCACGUACACUCCAAGUUACAGAAGUUACCGAUUAAGCUCCUGCUCAUGAUGUGCAUUGUUCUGAGCAUGUUUGCUAACAUUAUGUUUAAUGUGUAUAUAUAUGUGUGCCAUAAGCUUCAUCAUGUUGUAAAAUUUGUUCGGUAGGAAUCCUGUUAGAGCAUGUAGUUUUCCAUAUUGGUCACAAAGAGUUGAUAACGGCUGAAGAUUUGGUUGUGGUGUUUAGUUAUAGUUUGCAAAACGAAUGUUUUACACCUUUGCAUGGGGUGGAGUCUUGCGCUGGAUUGAAGAAUACUGGAACAGGAUAGGAAGGAAAGAAAAACACAAGAAGCAUAUGAAUAAUUUUGUGUACCAAGAAUUUCAUUGUGUUCGUUUUGCAAGUCGAGCGUUCGAAGUAGCAAGUGUUGACUAUUGUGAAGGAAUUGAAAUAGU